AGCAGCCGCGGUAAUUCCAGCUCCAAUAGCGUAUAUUAAAGUUGUUGCAGUUAAAAAGCUCGUAGUUGAAUUUCGGAAUUUGUCGGUUGGUCGGGCUUCACUGUCCGCACUGACCUGAUGGAUUCCUACCUUCUGAAUAACCAGCAUGCUAUUAAGUUAGUGCGUUGGGGAAGCAGAGCUAUUACCUUGAAAAAUUAGAGUGCUUAAAGCAGGCUUGUGCUUGAAUAGAUUAGCAUGGAAUAAUAAAAUAGGACGGCAUGGUUCUAUUUUGUUGGUUUCUAGGAUCACCGUAAUGAUUAAUAGGGAUAGUUGGGGGCAUUAGUAUUCAAUUGUCAGAGGUGAAAUUCUUGGAUUUAUUGAAGACUAACUUCUGCGGAAGCAUUUGCCAAGGAUGUUUUCAUUAAUCAAGAACGAAAGUUAGGGGAUCGAAGACGAUCAGAUACCGUCGUAGUCUUAACCAUAAACUAUGCCGACUAGGGAUCGGACGAUGUUAAUUUUUAAUGUACUCAUUC
This 512-nucleotide ribosomal RNA is filed under the name uncultured Acaulospora. RNAcentral's name for it is "SSU rRNA". It matches the Rfam family "Eukaryotic small subunit ribosomal RNA", at positions 569 to 1081 of the family's 1831-position model. Lineage: Eukaryota; Fungi; Glomeromycota; Glomeromycetes; Diversisporales; Acaulosporaceae. The record is from RNAcentral.